UACGUAGGGUGCGAGCGUUGUCCGGAAUUACUGGGCGUAAAGAGCUCGUAGGUGGUUUGUCGCGUUGUUCGUGAAAACUCACAGCUCAACUGUGGGCGUGCGGGCGAUACGGGCAGACUAGAGUACUGCAGGGGAGACUGGAAUUCCUGGUGUAGCGGUGGAAUGCGCAGAUAUCAGGAGGAACACCGGUGGCGAAGGCGGGUCUCUGGGCAGUAACUGACGCUGAGGAGCGAAAGCGUGGGGAGCAAACAGG
This 253-nucleotide ribosomal RNA is filed under the name uncultured bacterium. RNAcentral's name for it is "partial 16S ribosomal RNA". It matches the Rfam family "Bacterial small subunit ribosomal RNA", at positions 524 to 776 of the family's 1533-position model. The record is from RNAcentral.